Lepidothrix coronata (blue-crowned manakin) is the source of this 4218-nucleotide long non-coding RNA. NCBI's taxonomy places the organism in Eukaryota, Metazoa, Chordata, Aves, Passeriformes, Pipridae. The record is from Ensembl.
UUUUUGAAGAUUGCAAACCAGAUGAGGAGGAAAUGGCAAAGGCAACUGGAAAUGAUCAUCCUGUGAAUUCUGACCCUGAACCUGGUGAUUCCCACGCCGGUGAGGAAGCAGAGAACCCAGCAAGUACAGAGCAUGAUGCCAGUGAAGGUGAGGUUGACUGUCAGUCAGGGAGAAGGAUUAAAUCUUAUUAAUCUGAAGUCUUUUCACAGAAUUGUUUUUCCCUUUCCCUUUCCUUUGGCUGUUAAUCCUCCUUGUGCUUUUUUCUUUCCUAACUUGUAUAGAACUGGGUGAUGACUAGCUGGUUUCUGUAGUCAUGUAUAAUUAAUGCUUUUUUGGCAUUUAAAUGGUUCUAGGCAAAGACCCCAGCCAUGGUAAACUGGCUGUGAGUCAGGAAAAUAGCCAUGGAAAGCAGAAACAUAGUGAGGUUUCCUGUGCUUCCCGGUAGCGUGGGGAAUCCUCGGGAAGCGCUUUGGUUCCCAGGGGCAGGAAUUCCCCAGUGUAAUUAAAGAAUCCACGGGAAGCAAUUACCCAUUUUAUACAGCUGAGUGUUCUUCCUCCCGUGUGUGCGUAUUUUACAUGAGCAAUUUGCCACCUAUUUCUGACUUUCUGAGUGUCGCUGUCAAGGUUACAGGUGUUUCACGUGCACACCUGAGCUCCCUGCAGGCAGGAAGGGAGGGAGGCAGAGCAGGCAGGGCAGGCAAGAUUGGCAAAGAUGAAAGCUGGCCUUGCAUCAACAUUUUUUCUUACAUUCAUUAUGCCAGAUGCUAGGACAGCAGCACUAGAGAUGUAGUCAGAGCCCAGGGGUGUGAUGAGAAGAAGCACAGCAAGUUUUCUUCUGGUCCCCAUGCUGGUGUCCCUCAUUGCUGGGCAGAGACAGUACCUUUAACACUAACUCUGUAAAACAUGUAACAUUGACACAGUGCUGAGUAAAACCAAUGUUUUAUUUUUCCCUAACAGGACCAGAUGGAAGUUUCUCGGCAGAAGGGAGGAGAAGCCUUGAUGUGCAGAAGGCAGCAGGACAAGAAGUACAAGAAGGGCAGGUGGCAGGCCAGAGACAAGCCCGGGAGCAGGAUGGUGCUGCCACGGGAAGAGAUGCUGGCAGCAAAGAGUCUGGAGGAGAAGGGAUACGGGAGAGGGAUUUACUGCCCCAGGAAGAGACAGGGUCUGCGCUGGAGGAAUCCACACCUGAGGAAGGCACUGUGGCAGAGGAACAUCCAAAAGGGAAGGGGACAGAAGAGAGAGUGGAGUCGAGCACAGAGGUGUCACCUGGGGAGCAGGAGGUGCUGGUGGAGGGGACGGAGAUCAAGGCAGCACUAGGAGAGCUGGCACCUGGGGUAGAGGGGCCAGCUGGGGCACUGCCAGGCUGGGAGACAGACAGAGCCGUGUCCGAGGGGCAGGAGGGGGAUGGGGGGGUCCCUGAGGAGGAGGCUGUGGAGAAAGGCCCCGAGGGAGUGGCAGGGCCACCAGCAGAGGAGGAGGUAGGUGAGGCAGUGCCAGAGGCAGGGGAGUCGGUGUGGGAGGGAGGGUCCACAGGGAAAGGUGCUGUGGUUGGUGCUGUGGCAGAUGGAGAGGAGGCUGUGGAGGAUGCUGACCUGGCAGGAGAAGGUAUUGCCGGGGUUGUUUGCCCUGAAGAAGGGGCUGUUGAGGAAGACAGUUCUGAAGGGCAGGAGGCAGUGGAGAAGCCUGGGGCUCUCCUGGAAGCAUUAGGGGAUAUGGAAACAGGAGAAGCAAUGCCUGGAGGGGAAGGGUUUGUAAAGCCAGAUAAGUUUUCCCAGCUGAAAGCAUUAGAGGAAGAGUGGAUGGAGAUGGGGAAGGCUGCCACAGGAGCAGCAGCAUCUGAACGUGGCCAGGUAUGCAGGGUAGGAGGGAACGUUCUCCAAAGAGUGGAGGACAUGAUGGAGGUGUCAGUGGAGCCUGGCAAGGGUACUGUGCUGGAAGUGGCACCUGGGUUAGGGCCACUGGGGGGUGCUGGGGACGAUCCCAUCAGUGAAGGGUCAUCUCAGGUAGAGGAGACCCCGGCAGUGCAGGAGAAGGAGGGUGCAGUGGAAGCACUUCGGAGUGGAAACCCAUCUGUGGGCAGCAAAGCAGAGACAGAGAGAGCCAUGGAAGGAAAACCCAAUGGAGGGGUGGCGGGAGGGUCUGCAGAGGCGUCCACCCAGGGGUUAGGAGGUGGAGAGGAGGCCACAGGUGGAGCAGCAGGUCCAAGGGAGCCAACAACUGGGAUGGAGGGGUGGCUGAGGUAUGGAAAAGAGAGAGGAAAGGGGAGGCCUUCUGGGGAGGGGGUAGUGGGUGAUGCAGCAGUGCCAGCCCUGGGGUUGGACGUGAGCCAGGCAGGGGAGCCCAGGCUGGUGGCCAUUGCUGUGAUGGGUGGCCAGGCUGGGCGAGGGGCUCUGGCCGAGGAACUGGCCAGGGAGCCAGCGCUGGCUGAGGUGGUGGUGGCAGUGGCUGGGGAUGGCAGGGUGGGCAGAGGGACAGUGGUACAGGAGGGGGUGACAGAAGGAGUGCUGGGGGCACAGAGCGGGACAGGGGUGGCAGUGGCAAAGGGGAUGUCAGCCAAGGGAAGGUGGGCAGCCAGAGAGUCUGGGAGGGACAGGGCAGGGGUGGCUGAUGGAGCUGUGGCUGGUGAGCAAGGGAUGAACCAGGAGGCAGCACUGGGGUGCGAGGCAAGUGGGCCAGAGCCAGCGGGGGCCAAGGGCCAGGGCGAGGCAGAGUGGGAGUGGGUCACAAUGCAUAUGGUGUCCUCAGGGCACGAAGAAGCCUGUAGAGCAAUGUCCCCUGGGGAACAGCUGACUGCAGAAACCUCCCAAAGCACCCCUGCCCAUGGGGAUGGGGGAAUGGAGCUGAUGGGAAGAGAGUCUGCAGGCGGCGAGGGGCUGUGCUUGGGCACCCAGCCACAGCUGGCAGGUCCUGGGACAGGGGCAGUGGAGGGCAAGGACGGGCAGCAGGAGGGGAUGGAGCAGGCGGGAGUGAAAACAGAGGGAGAACAGCAGGGUCCCUGUGAAAACACGAGAGAGAGCAAGGUAGUGGCUGUCUUGGCAAGUGCAGAGAACUCUGCUGGGGCCGGGCAACAGAGGAAGGACAGUCCCGUCGUCGGAGGGAGCCCAGGAGCUGCUGACGUGGGUGAGAGGAGCCCCAAACCCCGUCAGGACAGUGUAAACCCAGACCCAGUCAUCGUAUCUGCAGAACAGUCCCAUGAUGGGGAAGAAACUCUGCUCUGAGCUUUUUCAGCAGCUCCUCAAUGCUGUGUCCUGUAACAUUCACACAAUUAGCUGUGGGUUUGUGCCAGCUGGGAUGUCACUCCUCUGUUGACUGCGCGAGUACCACAACCACCUGUCACAUUUCACCAUAGCAGCUCCUCCGUGUGCAGCAGACAACUGAAACGAGCCUGUGUUUGCCAGCCCAGGAAACAGUGCUGCUUCAGAAUUAUGAAGACAGUAAUCACCAGGAUUGUUCCACAGUUGUCAUGCUUGUUUUUCCCAAAACCAGAGGAAUACUGGACUGGCUGAACUUUCCCUCCUCCCCCAUGCACUGCUCCUGCAGGCAGGCAGGAGGAUGAGGGCAGAUGUGCUGUGUGUGUUUGUCUGUACAGGGUGCCCAUGUCUGAGUGUAUCUGUCAUUUUUUUGGGGUGUCUUUGCCUUUCUGAGCUGCAGCCUUUUGUCAGUCAGGCUGUGUCCUCACUGCUGUGCAUGGGGCACUUGUGCAUGCCAUUGUUUGAUUCUGGUAAGAUCAUCCAGGGACGUUCAGCAGAGAUGCAAUGGCAGGAUCAGGGGUGAAGGAGGCCUCACAUGAGGGUUUUAGCCUGGGGACUUCCCCACCCCAGAUUAGGGGAGGGUAGCUCUCCUGCAUGCAGAGUGCCCCCUGUGCUGGGGGGCAUGAGGGGCUUCUGUCUCAGGGAUCCACGCUUGCUGUUGGCCACAGUUCAGGGCAUGCUUGGCACUUUGAAAUGUUGAAAGUUGUUAAAUCAGAACAAUUCUAACAAGUAUUUGUAAAUGCAUAAAGCCUGGCCUUUUGCUUUUGGUAGUGUCAGUCAGAAGUGACUUCCUGGCCCAUGGAGCCUGGGCUGAGGCUGCAAGAGGGUGGUCAGUGUAGAGGUGUCUCAGCCUGGCAGUGGCUGCCCUUCUCUACUGCCUGAGGCUCUUCUCAGCUCUCCUGCACCUCUAUGGGCCCACCAAGACCUUUCUGAGCUGGGCACCUGGGGCUGGGUGUGCAGCAGCCUC